CUGUAUGCCCUAUUGAAUUUCUGAAUUUGGAAUGCAACAUUGUUGAGACAUUCCUCUGCAUCAUCAUCAUAUUCCGGAGCAACAUCUUCUUUCUCCAAUUCUGCCUGGAGUGCAUUUGAGAUAGCCUUUCCUUUCUCCUUUCUUUGAUCUUCAAAGUUCAUCUCUCUAGACUUUAGACUACCAAUUAAGUCGUCCAGCCGUAGAGAUGAUGUGUCUUUGGC
RNAcentral lists this long non-coding RNA (221 nucleotides) under Erythranthe guttata (spotted monkey flower). RNAcentral describes it as "long non-coding RNA (EGUT_LNC002554)". Lineage: Eukaryota; Viridiplantae; Streptophyta; Magnoliopsida; Lamiales; Phrymaceae. The record is from RNAcentral.